RNAcentral lists this ribosomal RNA (490 nucleotides) under uncultured bacterium. RNAcentral describes it as "partial 16S ribosomal RNA". It matches the Rfam family "Bacterial small subunit ribosomal RNA", at positions 30 to 507 of the family's 1533-position model. The record is from RNAcentral.
AUUGAACGCUGGCGGCAGGCCUAACACAUGCAAGUCGAACGGUAACAGGAAGCAGCUUGCUGCUUUGCUGACGAGUGGCGGACGGGUGAGUAAUGUCUGGGAAACUGCCUGAUGGAGGGGGAUAACUACUGGAAACGGUAGCUAAUACCGCAUAACGUCGCAAGACCAAAGAGGGGGACCUUCGGGCCUCUUGCCAUCGGAUGUGCCCAGAUGGGAUUAGCUGGUAGGUGGGGUAACGGCUCACCUAGGCGACGAUCCCUAGCUGGUCUGAGAGGAUGACCAGCCACACUGGAACUGAGACACGGUCCAGACUCCUACGGGAGGCAGCAGUGGGGAAUAUUGCACAAUGGGCGCAAGCCUGAUGCAGCCAUGCCGCGUGUAUGAAGAAGGCCUUCGGGUUGUAAAGUACUUUCAGCGGGGAGGAAGGGAGUAAAGUUAAUACCUUGGCUCAUUGACGUUACCCGCAGAAGAAGCACCGGCUAACUCCGUG